This 21-nucleotide non-coding RNA is filed under the name Caenorhabditis elegans. Lineage: Eukaryota; Metazoa; Nematoda; Chromadorea; Rhabditida; Rhabditidae. The record is from RNAcentral.
UGCUUUCAACAUUUUUCACAU